RNAcentral lists this ribosomal RNA (585 nucleotides) under uncultured bacterium. Its description in RNAcentral is "partial 16S ribosomal RNA". It matches the Rfam family "Bacterial small subunit ribosomal RNA", at positions 355 to 935 of the family's 1533-position model. The record is from RNAcentral.
UGGGGAAUUUUGGACAAUGGGCGCAAGCCUGAUCCAGCCAUGCCGCGUGCGGGAAGAAGGCCUUCGGGUUGUAAACCGCUUUUGUCAGGGAAGAAAUCUUCUGAGUUAAUACCUCGGGAGGAUGACGGUACCUGAAGAAUAAGCACCGGCUAACUACGUGCCAGCAGCCGCGGUAAUACGUAGGGUGCAAGCGUUAAUCGGAAUUACUGGGCGUAAAGCGUGCGCAGGCGGUUUUGUAAGACAGAGGUGAAAUCCCCGGGCUCAACCUGGGAACUGCCUUUGUGACUGCAAGGCUUGAGUGCGGCAGAGGGGGAUGGAAUUCCGCGUGUAGCAGUGAAAUGCGUAGAUAUGCGGAGGAACACCGAUGGCGAAGGAAUCCCCUGGGCCUGCACUGACGCUCAUGCACGAAAGCGUGGGGAGCAAAACAGGAUUAGAUACCCCUGGUAGUCCACGCCCCUAAAACGAUGUCAACUGGUUGUUGGGAAGGUUCCUUCUCAGUAACGUAGCUAACGCGUGAAGUUGACCGCCUGGGGAGUACGGCCGCAAGGUUGAAACUUAAAUGAAUUGACGGGGUCAUAGCUGUUU